RNAcentral lists this long non-coding RNA (1248 nucleotides) under Lathyrus oleraceus (garden pea). RNAcentral's name for it is "Pisum sativum (pea) long non-coding RNA (PSAT_LNC025917)". Lineage: Eukaryota; Viridiplantae; Streptophyta; Magnoliopsida; Fabales; Fabaceae. The record is from RNAcentral.
CAAAAUGAAUUUCAUAAUUAAAAUAAUUGUUACUUUAAAACUAAACUUUUUAUCACCUAAUACAAAGUAUAUGUACGAGAGAGAGAAUCUUUUCGGUUAACAUCUCGGCAUAAGCUAUAAAAAGUGCUUUUAGCACAAAAAAGCCACCCUAAGUUGCUUAGUUAAGAAUGGUGUUAGAAAUCACAAACAAAAUGUGCAGCUUAUACGAAAACACUGUUGCUUAUUGAUUUUUAUAAGUAUGCAGCUUAUACAAAAACACUGCUGCUUUUUUAUUUUUAUAAGUAUAUUCAGCGCUCAGCGGCAAUGCAGUUGCUGCAAAAUCACUGACAGAUAAUUGCUGCUUGUAGAAGUUGCUUAAGCUAUUAUCUCCCGGUAAGAGGUUGUGAGAUCUUUAAAUCAACUGUGUGAGAAUAGCAUUAGAGAGAUUAUAUUAUAUAUAUAUANAUAUAUAUAUAUAUAUAUAUAUAUAUAUAUAUUUAUAAUUAAUUAUAUGUUAGAGUUGAUAUUUGAAGUAUAUGUAAAUAUUCUUUAACAAAUAAAUACAUAUUUGUUAUCAGUCAUUUUCUAAAUCAUGUAUUGGUGAUUUGUUUCUCCUCUGCAUCAUAAAUUACAGCUUGAAGACUCAACAGUGCUAUGUUCAGCUUUUUUUAAGAGUGAAACAUCAAGUUUCGUUUACCGAGAAAAGUUCACGAAAUCAACCGAAACAAUUUUUAGGGUAAAUGACUUCCAUAGAGAUACUGUGCCAAACUUGAUGGUGUUCAAUUAUUAUAGGGCAAAGUUCUAAUGGACUAACAUAAGGAAAAAAUAUCAAGUGAAGACAGUUGGAUAAACACAAAAAUAUGGAAAUGCAUAAACGAAUGAUAUGUAUUAGACUAAUAGAAUAGAGAAGAAUUUAAACCAUGUUAAAAAAGUUUAAUAGAGUCAAUGCAUUAGAACCAACUCAUUAAAUUAUGUUGUUCUACAAAAUAAUAAAAUUCGAGAUUAAAUUAUGAUCUAUGAAAUUUUUCUGAACUAUGAGAAUAGGAAAUUUUCUUGACAAAAAAGCAACUUAUAUUUUGUAACUCUUUGAUUAAUUAUGAGUAUGUGAUUUUGAGGUUAAAUUAUGAUCUCACUGACAAAGUCUUAGAAAAUUUUCAUUAUCUUGUUAUCUCAUGUUAUGUCUAAUAAUAGAGUUAGGAGGAUUUAUUUUGUUAAAUAUGAGAAUUUUCUGUUAAACAAUAGAGAUAGGGAGAAAUCUUUCUUUUAGGA